This 253-nucleotide ribosomal RNA is filed under the name uncultured bacterium. Its description in RNAcentral is "partial 16S ribosomal RNA". It matches the Rfam family "Bacterial small subunit ribosomal RNA", at positions 524 to 776 of the family's 1533-position model. The record is from RNAcentral.
UACGUAGGGCGCAAGCGUUGUCCGGAAUUAUUGGGCGUAAAGAGCUCGUAGGCGGUUUGUCGCGUCUGCCGUGAAAGUCCGGGGCUCAACUCCGGAUCUGCGGUGGGUACGGGCAGACUAGAGUGAUGUAGGGGAGACUGGAAUACCUGGUGUAGCGGUGAAAUGCGCAGAUAUCAGGAGGAACACCGAUGGCGAAGGCAGGUCUCUGGGCAUUAACUGACGCUGGAGGAGCGAAAGCUGGGGAGCGAACAGG